CGCUCUUGUGGCAGCACAAG
RNAcentral lists this small nuclear RNA (20 nucleotides) under Arabidopsis thaliana (thale cress). RNAcentral describes it as "snRNA_11223". Lineage: Eukaryota; Viridiplantae; Streptophyta; Magnoliopsida; Brassicales; Brassicaceae. The record is from RNAcentral.